This 387-nucleotide long non-coding RNA is filed under the name Hordeum vulgare. Its description in RNAcentral is "long non-coding RNA (HVUL_LNC005720)". The record is from RNAcentral. Lineage: Eukaryota; Viridiplantae; Streptophyta; Magnoliopsida; Poales; Poaceae.
CGCCACCUCCGCAGGGUCUGCCGGAGCCACACGAUGUCGCGGAUCUUGCUGCAUUUCGCCAUCGGUAUUUGUGGAGCUGAGCUGCUGGUGGUGGGUUAGUGGAGCUUGGAGCGUGGGAGGACGAGUUGGUGGAGUGGAGCUGGCUGGCUUCUCGGGGAGGGAGGGGUGGCGGGUUUUAUAGGAUGAUGAUGCUGGAAAUGUUGGGACUUGGUUCGUCAUCGACCCAGUUGGCCCGGAUCAAAUAAUCUGAGCUGUGUGAAGGGGAUGGGCCUUUGUUCUUCCAUUUAACAUUCAUAUAUUUCCCCUAUAGUUUUUAUUCACAUUUUGAGCCACACAUUUCUAGUCAAAAUCAUGUCCUGGUGAAAGUUGAAAAACGAGCAAUAUGUU